This is a long non-coding RNA of Neopelma chrysocephalum (saffron-crested tyrant-manakin), 2014 nucleotides long. RefSeq lists it as uncharacterized. The record is from RefSeq and is a predicted model, not a curated record. The transcript is spliced from 5 exons. NCBI's taxonomy places the organism in Eukaryota, Metazoa, Chordata, Aves, Passeriformes, Pipridae.
AUAUAUUUAAUUUUAUAUUUACAUUUGUUUUAUAUAUGUUUUAUAUUAUUUUUUAAUUUUGUAUAGGGUUUUUUUAUGGUUUUUGAUAUAAUCCUUGCAGAUUUCCCUAAUCAGCUGCCAUUUUUGAACUGCUUUGUGCAGUGUACAGGAUAAAGAUGUAUCUGAGGACUCUGAUGGGAAUGGUCACAGCACAUUUGAAUUCCAGCCCCUUCCCUGCUGGGCUUGUGAGAUUUCCCAUUGAAUUCGUGCUGUUGCCUGAUUUUUUUGGAUACCAGGAUUCCUGGCAAAGUUGGCAGCAAGUUUAACCAGUGUCAGCUUUCCACAGGGAGAAACCAGACAUAUUCCACUCAAGCUUCUGAGCUUGGUCAGCCCAGUUAACCCUGAGGCUGCAGAGGUGCCUGAGAUCCUCAGGGAUGUGCCUUUUACUGGGAGCAUCCCUAUUUUCCUGGCUCUCCACUGUGAUACAACAGGCCACAACCUUCCCAGAGACCUCCAGAACCUCCCCCUGUGACUAAUCAGUUCAAGAUCAAGCUGAAAUGGUUCCUGUCCUGAAAAAUGGAUCCUGAAGAGGCAGGAUGUGCCUGCUGCUCUCUUUAGAUCCAGCAGGAGGAUGUUUGGGGCCCAAGGAUCCAGCAGGGAAGAGGAGCCCUCCAGCCUUGCUGUUCCCAGCCAGAUUCUGCCACAAAGAAACCCAGGGAACAGCUCAGAGGAGCAGACCUGCAGCUGUGGAUGUGCACACUCUGUUGUUCAACAGGAAUUAAUUCAGAUUAACUGACAUUUCUGUCAGCAAUGCCCUCACCACAGACAUCCUGCCUUUCUAACGACGGGUUUUCACACCCAACACGUGGGGAAAGGAAAAGUGAAUGAAAACCAGGAGAGACUGACCAGGAGCUUUGGCUUUUGCUCAGCAGGGAGGACAGUGAAGUUGGUGAUGGAGCGCAGCAUCACGAGCAGGAUGGAGAGCACGAAGACGAUGAGCUCCUGGCGGUUCUCCUGCAGGAUCCCCCGGCUCACAUAGUACACACAGAACACUGGGGGGACAAGGCAAGGGCAGUGCCAGAGUGCUGCUUCCUGGAUUCCACAAAAUUCCCCCCACUUUUGCAAGGCUGGGACAUGGGGACAAAGUGCUCUCCAAGUCUUCAAAGGAACACAGUAACCUGAGUCUCUAAACAAACCUUCAGUGACUGAACUUCCUUUUCCAGUGCUGUUAACAGGGACUGAGAGAGUGGAAAAUGAUUGGCAAGUGACAGAGUGAAUCACGGUAUUUUUUGGACAUGCUCUUGACCUCAGGAAGACCUCAAAGACUUAAGGCAGCAUUUCCUUGUUUUGCAAAUUCAGCUGCUCAAUCAGAAGAAAUUUUGCACAAAUAAUUUGAAAAUAAGCUCUGAAUAUCAAGCUUUUUGCAGAGGUGGCACAUGCACGUUUCUGAAAUACAGGACACCCCUUGGUUUUGGGGGUGAACAUUUUUCAACAGAUUAAAUUCUCAACUCUCCCAUAAAUUAAAUAUCUAAUUGUAAACCCAAGACAUUGUUACGGCCAGGGCACCUAUUUUUCUUUAAAGAAACACCUGUCCUGUCAGUCUUUGUCUACCACACAGAAAACAUGGUUUUGGGGAAAAACAGAUGGGCAACUAUGGUUUCAACUUCCCGGGUCUGUCACUGAAUUAAUAUGAAGGUUCUUCAGGCUGUUCUAACAUUGCAGCUUUGUGAGUCCUGUGUGAAAAGCUGCUCAUUAAAUCAGAGGUUUGGAAUUAAAGCAUUGUUGGGAUUUGUCUAAUUAUAGAAUCUGGAACAAAGCUAUUGUCUUUGUUCCCUCUGGGUGAGAGCUGGAAGGCAAGGACUGUGUUACACCCACAAUCUCUCCUUUUUCACACUGUUUUGGCAGCCAAGGCCUGCUAAAGCCACUUCCUGAAAUAGUUUAUUAUUUUCAUGGUAAUUUCUGUUUGAUACAAAUGGACCCAAGAAUACGAAAAAAAGUUUCUGCUGAAGCUCUCAUUGGAAAUAUCCAAGGAAGU